Molecule: ribosomal RNA, 497 nt
Filed under: uncultured bacterium
Lineage: Bacteria
Description: partial 16S ribosomal RNA
Rfam family: Bacterial small subunit ribosomal RNA
Source: RNAcentral
GAUGAACGCUGGCGGCGUGCCUAAUACAUGCAAGCCGAGCGAACGGACGAGAAGCUUGCUUCUCUGAUGUUAGCGGCGGACGGGUGAGUAACACGUGGAUAGCCUACCUAUAAGACUGGGAUAACUUCGGGAAACCGUAGCUAAUACCGGAUAAUAUUUUGAACCGCAUGGUUCAAAAGUGAAAGACGGUCUUGCUGUCACUUAUAGAUGGAUCCGCGCUGCAUUAGCUAGUUGGUAAGGUAACGGCUUACCAAGGCAACGAUGCAUAGCCGACCUGAGAGGGUGAUCGGCCACACUGGAACUGAGACACGGUCCAGACUCCUACGGGAGGCAGCAGUAGGGAAUCUUCCGCAAUGGGCGAAAGCCUGACGGAGCAACGCCGCGUGAGUGAUGAAGGUCUUCGGAUCGUAAAACUCUGUUAUUAGGGAAGAACAUAUGUGUAAGUAACUGUGCACAUCUUGACGGUACCUAAUCAGAAAGCCACGGCUAACUACGUG